This 2577-nucleotide long non-coding RNA is filed under the name Carassius auratus (goldfish). Its description in RNAcentral is "lncRNA (ENSCARG00000012366.1)". Lineage: Eukaryota; Metazoa; Chordata; Actinopteri; Cypriniformes; Cyprinidae. The record is from RNAcentral.
AUGUCGUGUCGGAAUGGAGUGGCCCGGGUGGUUAACGUUAAUCAAGGACUGCAGCCCCUCCGAGCCACGGUCCCGUUUCAGCUCCAGAACCGUCCAGCACCGCGCUGCAAAGACACCAGGACAGCCGAGUACAAGACGAAAGGUCGGCCGCCGAAGCCAACCUUACGACGGACAUUGUCUCUGGACACACUGGUGGGACCGUACCUUCAGGGAAACUGGCCUAGAGACCCAGAGUAUCAGCCUGUUACCUGUGUCAAUGACAAGGCCACACAGGUGAGAUCCUACCCACACAAUUUUUCGUGAACUAUUCCUUUUAACACAGGUACUGAGGUGUCAAUAGCAAACAAAGGAGAUCCUGUCUGACCAUGUGGGACUGGAGACUUUACUACUCAGUGAGGAGUUAAACAAACCAUUGGUUUGAUCUGCCUUAUAUGAAACAUAUAUAAUAUUAUGGUGAGCGUGAAUUCACCAAGUAAAACAUGUUCUUGGAUCAACAUCCUUGUUGAUCAGGAAUGUCAUUCCAAUCAACCAUUAAGAGUUGAGAUAUAACUUUUCAGGAAAUAUCGGUUUUAGGCUUACAAUCAGGGUUAGGUGCUUCUACACCUUUGUUAAUCAGCUAUCAUUUCCCUCUGAUUUUAGGAAUAAAUUAUGGCUAGGGUUGGGGCUGUGCAAAAAAUCGAAUGCGAUUUUCAUGCGUAUCUCAUCAGUAAAGACGCUCCUGUAAUUAGAAGUAUAUCUCCAGCAUGUGCAUUCAGAUCAGGGUUGCCAGGUUUUCACAACAAAUCCUGCCCAGUUGCUUCUCAAAACUAGUCCAAAACUAGCCCAAUCGCACUUCCAGGAGUUUCCCCAAAGAAUUGCUUCUCGGGGUUAAAAUAUACGUUUUUUGGCAGGGUUGCCUUGAUAAAAUUUGCAUUUUAGGGGCUAAAUAUCACAUUAUUGGUAUUGGGGUUGCUUCAAACCAUGGACAUGAAACACAACCGCAGACUUGGCAACACUGGUUCAGGUGGAGUGGCAGUUACUACACAGAGCCGUACCGACAACUAACACAAAAUCGCUUUCAAAAUCGACAAAGAAUCGCCUGCGAUUUAAUAUCGAUAUUGUGUAGAUUGUCAGUGAAUUACGGCUCUGUGUAGUAAAUGGUUGUUUUUCAUGUCCGCGGGUCUUAGCAACAAUUCCAAUAACGUGAUAUUUAGCCCCUAAAAUGCAAAUUUUAUCAAGGCAACCCUGCCAAAAAGCAUAUAUUUUAACCCCGGGAAGCAAUUUUUUGGAAACCUCCUGGAAGCACGAUUGGGCUAGUUCUGGACUAGUUUUGAGAAGCAACUGGGCAGGAUUUAUUGUUAAAACCUAACAACCCUGAUCUGAGCGCACAUGCUGGAGAUAUACUUCUAAUUACAGGAGCGUCUUUACUGAUGAGAUGCGCAUGAAAAUCGCAUUAAAAUUUUUUUGCACAGCCCUAGCUAGGGUUAGGUUUAGGGGUAGGGAUUAAGUCUGUAUUUUUGGACCGUAAUGUUGAUCCAGGAUCAACAAAAGAUGUUGAUCCAGGAACAUGUCUUUCUUACUUGGCAAAAUCACUCUGACCAUAGAAUUAUACACAGCUGUUUUAACAUUUGUGUUAUUUGCAAAGCAUAAUUCUGAAAUGGUCAGAGUACAUAGUGUUUGUUUAGGAAAUCUAAAAUCAAGCAGUUACUAAUGAAAGAUCUUGGCUUUGGGGAGAAGGAGUUUGGCAGGUAAUGGAAGGAGUUUAGGAAAAGUCAGCCUGGAACGGCAGCCAUAUUGUUUUUUCCAAAUGGUUUCCAUAUGAGUUCCUGGAGCACCGCUCCUACAUGCCUUCUGAGGUUUGCUAUAUUCAGUCAAACACACAAGUUGAAAGUCUCUCUGCUGGGGCUGUUCAUUUUGAUUUAGCUUCUUCAUUUGUUAAAGGUUUUCCUCUGUUAAAAUAAUUAAUUUAGUAAGAAAAUGUCAUACUAUGGUUGUACUUUUGUUUUUUUUUCACCCAACUGUUUGUGCCGCGCUGCUUAUUAAUGAGAGUUGUGCAGUUAUUAUUUCUAAGCAAUCAGACAUGAGGAUAUCUCAGAAAGGAUAAUGAAAAAGUCCCAAAGAUUUUUAGGAAGGAGUUUCUGAGCCCAUCCAGUCCUAGACAUCCAACGCAAUUUGAUUCCGAUACGCAAGCUCUUGAUUGGUUGUUUUUUUGUUUUUUGUGGUAUUUGGUUCUACUGUUCAGAAUUUUCGGGGUUCAAAAGAUUUUCUGCCAGAAAUUAAUAUCUUUAUUCUACACUGAUGUAUUACAUUUAUCAAAAGUGGAAGUAAAGUCAUGGAUCAUGUCACAAAAGAUUUUGAAUUCAAUUAAAUGAGUAUUUUUCUUUUUAUUUCAGUUUCCACAAAAAAUAUUAAGCAGCACAACUGUUUGCAACAGAAUGAUUUCUGAAGGAUCAGUGUGAUGCUGAAACUGCUGAAACUUCAGCUUUGCCAUCACAGGAAUAAUUUAAAUUUAAAUUAUAUUCAAAUAGAUAUUUUAAAUUGUACAAAUAUUUCUCAUUACUACUGAAUCUAUUGAAUUUUGAUCAAAUAAAAGCAGCC